GUUUCCUUUUGGGUCUCCCAUGCUAGCCCCCCAACAAACACUUUGGUGAAAGUGGUGUCUCCAAAUUGGCCUGCCAAGUUUGGUGGACUCAUCUUUCACCCUCUUCUCCCAAGUUUGGAUCUCAACAAGCUUCAAUAAGUGAUCUCAGGAAUGAAGGGGAGCAACCCAAGUAUGAGAGGGAUCUUCAAAGCUCUUGAGGUGAGUUUGG
This 208-nucleotide unclassified non-coding RNA is filed under the name Hevea brasiliensis (rubber tree). The record is from RNAcentral. Lineage: Eukaryota; Viridiplantae; Streptophyta; Magnoliopsida; Malpighiales; Euphorbiaceae.